AACCUCCGCAAUGUGAGAAAUCGCGACGGGGGGAUCCCAAGUGCCAUUCUUAACGGGAUGGCUUUUCAUUAGUGUAAAGAGCUUUUGGAAUAAGAGCUGGGCAAGACCGGUGCCAGCCGCCGCGGUAACACCGGCAGCUCUAGUGGUAACAAUUUUUAUUGGGCCUAAAGCGUCCGUAGCCGGUUUAAUAAGUCUCUGGUGAAAUCCUGUAGCUUAACUGUGGGAAUUGCUGGAGAUACUAUUAGACUUGAGACCGGGAGGGGUUAGAGGUACUCCCAGGGUAGAGGUGAAAUUCUGUAAUCCUGGGAGGACCGCCUGUUGCGAAGGCGUCUAACUGGAACGGUUCUGACGGUGAGGGACGAAAGUUAGGGGCGCGAACCGGAUUAGAUACCCGGGUAGUCCUAACUGUAAACGAUGCGGACUUGGUGUUGGGGUGGCUUUGAGCUGCUCCAGUGCCGAAGGGAAGCUGUUAAGUCCGCCGCCUGGGAAGUACGGUCGCAAGACUGAAACUUAAAGGAAUU
This 521-nucleotide ribosomal RNA is filed under the name uncultured bacterium. Its description in RNAcentral is "bacterial SSU rRNA". It matches the Rfam family "Archaeal small subunit ribosomal RNA", at positions 345 to 866 of the family's 1478-position model. The record is from RNAcentral.